UGGUUGAAUUCCUUCCUUGCCUUGAUUUAUCAAAGCAUGAGUAACGGAUUGAUCUCUGUUGCUAGGCAGCUGGCUUACAUUGCUUAUCAGAUCUAACUGCCUAGGAACAGCCUCGUCUUUGAUGGAGAUGUGAUUUCUGCUCAUCGAGUUUUGGACAUAGCUGUUUGUCUUGCUCAGGAGUAUUGUCGGUUUGAUACUGCCACUCCGAUCCCUGACAUCCCCAAUCCUUGGAGUCCCUGGCUACUCUAGCAGUGACCCAUAGGGUUCUUUCUAUCUCUUAGGAGUCCCUACCCCCAGAGUUUAUCAAGGUGAACUUCAAUGGCAGCAUCAGAGG
Molecule: long non-coding RNA, 334 nt
Filed under: Elaeis guineensis (African oil palm)
Lineage: Eukaryota; Viridiplantae; Streptophyta; Magnoliopsida; Arecales; Arecaceae
Description: long non-coding RNA (EGUI_LNC020280)
Source: RNAcentral